This 254-nucleotide ribosomal RNA is filed under the name uncultured bacterium. RNAcentral's name for it is "partial 16S ribosomal RNA". It matches the Rfam family "Bacterial small subunit ribosomal RNA", at positions 524 to 776 of the family's 1533-position model. The record is from RNAcentral.
GACGGAGGGUGCUAGCGUUGUUCGGAAUCACUGGGCGUAAAGGGCGCGUAGGCGGCCUUGCAAGUCGGUUGGUGAAAGCCCGGGGCUCAACCCCGGAGGUGCGGCCGAGACUGCAGGGCUGGAGGCCGGAAGAGGAGGGUGGAAUACCCAGUGUAGAGGUGAAAUUCGUAGAUAUUGGGUGGAACACCGGUGGCGAAAGCGGCUCUCUGGUCCGGACCUGACGCUGAAACGCGAAAGCUAGGGGAGCGAACGGG